RNAcentral lists this ribosomal RNA (1436 nucleotides) under uncultured organism. RNAcentral describes it as "SSU rRNA". It matches the Rfam family "Bacterial small subunit ribosomal RNA". The record is from RNAcentral.
AUCUACAGGCUUAACACAUGCAAGUCGAGGGGCAUCAGGAAGAAAGCUUGCUUUCUUUGCUGGCGACCGGCGCACGGGUGAGUAACACGUAUCCAACCUGCCCUUUACUCGGGGAUAGCCUUUCGAAAGAAAGAUUAAUACCCGAUAGCAUAAUGAUUCCGCAUGGUUUCAUUAUUAAAGGAUUCCGGUAAAGGAUGGGGAUGCGUUCCAUUAGGUUGUUGGUGAGGUCACGGCUCACCAAGCCUUCGAUGGAUAGGGGUUCUGAGAGGAAGGUCCCCCACAUUGGAACUGAGACACGGUCCAAACUCCUACGGGAGGCAGCAGUGAGGAAUAUUGGUCAAUGGGCGCUAGCCUGAACCAGCCAAGUAGCGUGAAGGAUGAAGGCUCUAUGGGUCGUAAACUUCUUUUAUAUAAGAAUAAAGUGCAGUAUGUAUACUGUUUUGUAUGUAUUAUAUGAAUAAGGAUCGGCUAACUCCGUGCCAGCAGCCGCGGUAAUACGGAGGAUCCGAGCGUUAUCCGGAUUUAUUGGGUUUAAAGGGAGCGUAGGUGGACUGGUAAGUCAGUUGUGAAAGUUUGCGGCUCAACCGUAAAAUUGCAGUUGAUACUGUCAGUCUUGAGUACAGUAGAGGUGGGCGGAAUUCGUGGUGUAGCGGUGAAAUGCUUAGAUAUCACGAAGAACUCCGAUUGCGAAGGCAGCUCACUGGACUGCAACUGACACUGAUGCUCGAAAGUGUGGGUAUCAAACAGGAUUAGAUACCCUGGUAGUCCACACAGUAAACGAUGAAUACUCGCUGUUUGCGAUAUACAGUAAGCGGCCAAGCGAAAGCAUUAAGUAUUCCACCUGGGGAGUACGCCGGCAACGGUGAAACUCAAAGGAAUUGACGGGGGCCCGCACAAGCGGAGGAACAUGUGGUUUAAUUCGAUGAUACGCGAGGAACUUUACCCGGGCUUAAAUUGCAGUGGAAUGAUGUGGAAACAUGUCAGUGAGCAAUCACCGCUGUGAAGGUGCUGCAUGGUUGUCGUCAGCUCGUGCCGUGAGGUGUCGGCUUAAGUGCCAUAACGAGCGCAACCCUUAUCUUCAGUUACUAACAGGUCAUGCUGAGGACUCUGGAGAGACAGCCGUCGUAAGAUGUGAGGAAGGUGGGGAUGACGUCAAAUCAGCACGGCCCUUACGUCCGGGGCUACACACGUGUUACAAUGGGGGGUACAGAAGGCAGCUAGCGGGUGACCGUAUGCUAAUCCCAAAAGCCUCUCUCAGUUCGGAUCGAAGUCUGCAACCCGACUUCGUGAAGCUGGAUUCGUUAGUAAUCGCGCAUCAGCCACGGCGCGGUGAAUACGUUCCCGGGCCUUGUACACACCGCCCGUCAAGCCAUGGGAGCCGGGGGUACCUGAAGUACGUAACCGCAAGGAUCGUCCUAGGGUAAAACUGGUGACUG